UACGUAGGGGGCAAGCGUUGUCCGGAUUUAUUGGGCGUAAAGAGCGUGUAGGCGGCUUCACAGGUCCGCUGUGAAAACUCGAGGCUCAACCUCGAGACGCCGAUGGAAACCAUCUGGCUAGAGUCCGGAAGAGGAGAGUGGAAUUCCCGGUGUAGCGGUGAAAUGCGCAGAUAUCGGGAAGAACACCCGUGGCUAAGGCGGCUCUCUAGUACGGUACUGACGCUGAGACGCGAAAGCGUGGGGAGCGAACAGG
RNAcentral lists this ribosomal RNA (253 nucleotides) under uncultured bacterium. Its description in RNAcentral is "partial 16S ribosomal RNA". It matches the Rfam family "Bacterial small subunit ribosomal RNA", at positions 524 to 776 of the family's 1533-position model. The record is from RNAcentral.